This 452-nucleotide ribosomal RNA is filed under the name uncultured bacterium. RNAcentral describes it as "bacterial SSU rRNA". It matches the Rfam family "Bacterial small subunit ribosomal RNA", at positions 340 to 786 of the family's 1533-position model. The record is from RNAcentral.
UACGGAAGGGAGCAGGGGGAAUAUUGCACAAUGGGCGCAAGCCUGAUGCAGCCAUGCCGCGUGUAUGAAGAAGGCCUUCGGGUUGUAAAGUACUUUCAGUCGUGAGGAAGGUGUUAAGGUUAAUAACCUUAGCAAUUGACGUUAGCGACAGAAGAAGCACCGGCUAACUCCGUGCCAGCAGCCGCGGUAAUACGGAGGGUGCGAGCGUUAAUCGGAAUUACUGGGCGUAAAGGGCACGCAGGCGGUUAAUUAAGUUGGAUGUGAAAUCCCCGGGCUUAACCUGAGAAUGGCAUUCAAGACUGGUUAGCUAGAGUCUUGUAGAGGGGGUAGAAUUCCAUGUGUAGCGGUGAAAUGCGUAGAGAUGUGGAGGAAUACCGGUGGCGAAGGCGGCCCCUGGACAAAGACUGACGCUCAUGUGCGAAAGCGUGGGGAGCAAACAGGGAUUAGAUACC